RNAcentral lists this ribosomal RNA (492 nucleotides) under uncultured bacterium. RNAcentral's name for it is "partial 16S ribosomal RNA". It matches the Rfam family "Bacterial small subunit ribosomal RNA", at positions 30 to 507 of the family's 1533-position model. The record is from RNAcentral.
AGUGAACGCUGGCGGUAGGCCUAACACAUGCAAGUCGAACGGCAGCACAGUAAGAGCUUGCUCUUACGGGUGGCGAGUGGCGGACGGGUGAGGAAUACAUCGGAAUCUACUCUUUCGUGGGGGAUAACGUAGGGAAACUUACGCUAAUACCGCAUACGACCUACGGGUGAAAGCAGGGGAUCUUCGGACCUUGCGCGAUUGAAUGAGCCGAUGUCGGAUUAGCUAGUUGGCGGGGUAAAGGCCCACCAAGGCGGCGAUCCGUAGCUGGUCUGAGAGGAGGAUAGGCGGCACUGGAGGUGGGACACGGUCCAGGCUACUACGGGAGGCAGCAGUGGGGAAUGUUGGGCAGUGGGGGCAAGCCUGAUCCAGCCAGACCGAGUGGGUGAAGGAGACGUUGGGGUUGUAAAGCCCUUUUGUUGGGAGAGAAAAGCAGCAGGUUAAUACCCCGCUGUUCUGACGGUACCCAAAGAAUAAGCACCGGCUAACUUCGUG